AUGAACGCUGGCGGCUUGCCUAAUACAUGCAAGUCGAGCGAACAGACGAGGAGAUUGCUCCUCUGACGUUAGCGGCGGACGGGUGAGUAACACGUGGAUAACCUACCUAUAAGACUGGGAUAACUUCGGGAAACCGGAGCUAAUACCGGAUAAUAUAAUUAACCGCAUGGUUCAAUAGUGAAAGACGGUUUUGCUGUCAAUUAUAGAUGGGUCCGCGCCGCAUUAGCUAGUUGGUAAGGUAACGGCUUACCAAGGCAACGAUGCGUAGCCGAACUGAGAGGGUGAUCGGCCACACUGGAACUGAGACACGGUCCAGACUCCUACGGGAGGCAGCAGUAGGGAAUCUUCCGCAAUGGGCGAAAGCCUGACGGAGCAACGCCGCGUGAGUGAUGAAGGUCUUCGGAUCGUAAAACUCUGUUAUUAGGGAAGAACAAAUGUGUAAGUAACUAUGCACGUCUUGACGGUACCUAAUCAGAAAGCCACGGCUAACUACGUG
RNAcentral lists this ribosomal RNA (496 nucleotides) under uncultured bacterium. RNAcentral describes it as "partial 16S ribosomal RNA". It matches the Rfam family "Bacterial small subunit ribosomal RNA", at positions 29 to 507 of the family's 1533-position model. The record is from RNAcentral.